RNAcentral lists this ribosomal RNA (447 nucleotides) under uncultured organism. Its description in RNAcentral is "partial 16S ribosomal RNA". It matches the Rfam family "Bacterial small subunit ribosomal RNA", at positions 334 to 797 of the family's 1533-position model. The record is from RNAcentral.
CACUCCUGCGGGAGGCAGCAGUAGGGAAUAUUGGACAAUGGGCGCAAGCCUGAUCCAGCCAUGCCGCGUGAGUGAUGAAGGCCCUAGGGUUGUAAAGCUCUUUCACCGGUGAAGAUAAUGACGGUAACCGGAGAAGAAGCCCCGGCUAACUUCGUGCCAGCAGCCGCGGUAAUACGAAGGGGGCUAGCGUUGUUCGGAUUUACUGGGCGUAAAGCGCACGUAGGCGGACUAUUAAGUCAGGGGUGAAAUCCCGGGGCUCAACCCCGGAACUGCCUUUGAUACUGGUAGUCUUGAGUUCGAGAGAGGUGAGUGGAAUUCCGAGUGUAGAGGUGAAAUUCGUAGAUAUUCGGAGGAACACCAGUGGCGAAGGCGGCUCACUGGCUCGAUACUGACGCUGAGGUGCGAAAGCGUGGGGAGCAAACAGGAUUAGAAACCCGAGUAGUCCCA